UAAUGAUGACACAAACAAAAUAAUAUACAUAUCUACUCGAUGAUUCUGUGGUGUAUAUACUGUAAUUGGUUUGUUUUUCAAUAGGAACAAUUUGUACCACCGAGCGUCAUUGGUAUCAUGUUUAGUGCAAGGAGUGUACACAAUGGAACGAGAUAGGCAACAAAACCGGUGUGGUUCUGACUCAAAAGCUAGACCUUGGUGGGCGUUUUACAGGUUCACUUUAUACCAACAACUUAGGGACGCAUUAGAUGGCUCCAUAUACGGGGCCGUUUUCCAGAACGACAUCAAUUACCAGAAUACUCCCAACUCGAUAGUACCUCCACGUUACAUUAUUGCGUUACGUGGAACGAUCUUAAGCCCACAAACUAUGGCUUGUGAUGUUCAGCUUAACAUUCGUAUCGCCUUCGAGAACCUCUACCGCGGGGGUAGAUUUGUGCAGGCCAUUCAAGCAAUGCAAUAUUUUGUGGCCACAUAUGGAAACACAGCUAUCUGGAUCGCUGGACACUCUCUAGGAGCUGGCCUUGCACUACUCGCGGGGAAGAUCAUGGCCAUGUAUGGAUGCCCUGUCGAGGCUUACAUCUUCAAUCCACCUAUCUCCUUGAUUCCUCUAGAGCAGCUAGUGGAGAGUGAGGAUCUUAAAUGUGCGGUCCGACUCGCUAGGGAUAUCCUCAAAGCCGGCAUAGCAAGAGUCCUAGACCUUAAUGAGGUAUCAAAUCUUCAUAAUACUUAUGGUACUUCACAAAUAAUACUAUCUCCCAAAUAAUAUGGGGGGAUUGACACAAAUGGCACUAAAAAACUUUAUUAUUCCAAAAAUGAUACUUUGUUUU
This 827-nucleotide small RNA is filed under the name Arabidopsis thaliana (thale cress). RNAcentral's name for it is "ATSL255790". Lineage: Eukaryota; Viridiplantae; Streptophyta; Magnoliopsida; Brassicales; Brassicaceae. The record is from RNAcentral.